GUUCGAUUCGAGCGAAAGCGAGAAAGCGUUGCCGCAGGCAACGACCCGAAGGGCGAAGCGCGCAGCGCUGAGUCAUCCUUCCCCCACCACCA
This 92-nucleotide small RNA is filed under the name Salmonella enterica subsp. enterica serovar Senftenberg. Its description in RNAcentral is "partial RtT sRNA". It matches the Rfam family "RtT RNA", at positions 41 to 130 of the family's 130-position model. From Rfam's summary of the family: This family represents a bacterial cis-regulatory element known as RtT RNA. The exact function of RtT is unknown although it is thought that it may be involved in changing the cellular response in relation to amino acid starvation. RNAcentral also lists the same sequence under 4 other names. Lineage: Bacteria; Pseudomonadati; Pseudomonadota; Gammaproteobacteria; Enterobacterales; Enterobacteriaceae. The record is from RNAcentral.